Non-coding RNA from Paramuricea clavata, 73 nucleotides. The record is from the annotation of a GenBank genome assembly. Lineage: Eukaryota; Metazoa; Cnidaria; Anthozoa; Malacalcyonacea; Plexauridae.
GACCGUGUAGCUCAGUUGGCAGAGCAUUGGGCUGGUACUCCAAAGAUCGUAGGUUCGAUUCCCACUGUGGUCA